This 465-nucleotide ribosomal RNA is filed under the name Vreelandella stevensii. RNAcentral describes it as "partial 16S ribosomal RNA". It matches the Rfam family "Bacterial small subunit ribosomal RNA", at positions 338 to 795 of the family's 1533-position model. Lineage: Bacteria; Pseudomonadati; Pseudomonadota; Gammaproteobacteria; Oceanospirillales; Halomonadaceae. The record is from RNAcentral.
CCUACGGGUGGCAGCAGUGGGGAAUAUUGGACAAUGGGCGAAAGCCUGAUCCAGCCAUGCCGCGUGUGUGAAGAAGGCCUUCGGGUUGUAAAGCACUUUCAGUGGGGAAGAAAGCCUUGGGGCUAAUACCCUCGAGGAAGGACAUCACCCACAGAAGAAGCACCGGCUAACUCCGUGCCAGCAGCCGCGGUAAUACGGAGGGUGCGAGCGUUAAUCGGAAUUACUGGGCGUAAAGCGCGCGUAGGCGGUCUGAUAAGCCGGUUGUGAAAGCCCCGGGCUCAACCUGGGAACGGCAUCCGGAACUGUCAGGCUAGAGUGCAGGAGAGGAGGGUAGAAUUCCCGGUGUAGCGGUGAAAUGCGUAGAGAUCGGGAGGAAUACCAGAGGCGAAGGCGGCCUUCUGGACUGACACUGACGCUGAGGUGCGAAAGCGUGGGUAGCAAACAGGAUUAGAUACCCCAGUAGUC